GAUGAACGCUGGCGGCGUGCCUAAUACAUGCAAGUCGAGCGAACGGACGAGAAGCUUGCUUCUCUGAUGUUAGCGGCGGACGGGUGAGUAACACGUGGAUAACCUACCUAUAAGACUGGGAUAACUUCGGGAAACCGGAGCUAAUACCGGAUAAUAUUUUGAACCGCAUGGUUCAAAAGUGAAAGACGGUCUUGCUGUCACUUAUAGAUGGAUCCGCGCUGCAUUAGCUAGUUGGUAAGGUAACGGCUUACCAAGGCAACGAAGCAUAGCCGACCUGAGAGGGUGAUCGGCCACACUGGAACUGAGACACGGUCCAGACUCCUACGGGAGGCAGCAGUAGGGAAUCUUCCGCAAUGGGCGAAAGCCUGACGGAGCAACGCCGCGUGAGUGAUGAAGGUCUUCGGAUCGUAAAACUCUGUUAUUAGGGAAGAACAUACGUGUAAGUAACUGUGCACAUCUUGACGGUACCUAAUCAGAAAGCCACGGCUAACUACGUG
RNAcentral lists this ribosomal RNA (497 nucleotides) under uncultured bacterium. Its description in RNAcentral is "partial 16S ribosomal RNA". It matches the Rfam family "Bacterial small subunit ribosomal RNA", at positions 28 to 507 of the family's 1533-position model. The record is from RNAcentral.